Molecule: long non-coding RNA, 4071 nt
Organism: Salvia splendens (bonfire salvia)
Lineage: Eukaryota; Viridiplantae; Streptophyta; Magnoliopsida; Lamiales; Lamiaceae
Exons: 2
Source: RefSeq, a predicted model, not a curated record
UAACCUUAUUUUUGGACAAGUGUAUGAAGAUAUGAUUCCUAAUGUGAAAUCUUGAAGGAGAAAUAGUUGUUUUUGACUAAUCUAAUGUCUUGUAGGAUAUAUGGAUAAAUAAUAGACAAGAAUUACGAAAUUAAGUUAGAAAAUAAUGGUUAACCGUAUGAAUUUGAUACUUUAUAUGCGAAAGUGAAAUAUAUAUUGAAGGGUAAUUCUACCCCAGGAAAUAACAAGGAUAAGGACAAGGAGCAGGAAUAAAGGUAUUCGUGUGUCAAGGGCGUUUUGGAUUUCGAGAUUAACUCUUUCGAUGUAUAGCUGCUCAAGUCGGGUCACUAGCCAACCUUUGUGUUUGGAAAAUUCUUUCAGAAAUUCUAGAUGUGGCAUGUAUAGAAAGUGUAAUGUAGUUCGGACGUUUCAUUUACUUCGCUAUCCUGGUUGUAUAAAUAUAUAUAUAUAUAUAGACUUUCGAAACAGGUUAAUGGUCUAAUUUCAGACGAUAUAUAGCAGUUUUUCCGUUUGCCAAGUAAAGGAAAAUAAUAUCUCUCUGUAUAAAAAAAAAGAAUCAAGGAUUUUCUGUUAAGUCGGGAUUGGUACUGAAAUGUGACAUCACUUAUUUGAUUAUUAAAUUAAUCGGGUAAGGGGUGUUACAUGUUUUGGUAUCAGAGCCUAGGUUUAGACGGUCCUAGGCUUGAGACGUGUUUAGAUGUGUCUAGAAACAUGCCACAUAGGAUUUUGAUUUAAGUCAUUGCUAGUGACCUGAUGUGUACAUGUUUUUCUGGCUUCAAGACUUGACAACUUUUAGUUUCUGAAUGAUACGGAAAACCCUUCUGUAUAAGGUUCGAAAUGGUGAAUUGAGGUUGAGUAGACCGGUGAUCCUAUAGUCAUUUGGUCGGCUAUUGAAAAAAAAAGAAGCUUCCAUCUGUUGCCCUUUAAAUUGGCUCUUCAACUUAUAUUAUAUACGAUGCAGUCGUCGUCGUGUUCUUGCUUUCUGUCUUCCUCAAGUUUGGCUUGCCCUCGCUUUCUGAGUACAACUUUCUCAACAACACCACGAAAAAGUCCACUUUGGUUGCUCACUGAUCUGAUUAUCCAUCAAAACUAGGCUUUUAAGCUCCUUUAACUGAUACGGUGUAGUAAUAUGAAUAUGUCAAAUGAGAGUUAUCCUUCGUGAUCUCUUCCUUUGAGAAUUGUUGUUUGGGACCCUCCAACGUGUUUGCCUUUUUGUUGACCCUAUAAGAUAAUUGAAGGAAGUGAUUUUUCCUGCUAGUACUGUUACCUUGGAGAAUUAUCUUCUUUGAUUAAUUCCUAAUAAUUGCAUCCUUCCGGGUCAUCUAAACAUUAAGUGUUUACUUAUCUACCACCACUGUGUCAUUAUUUUCUAUACCGAGUCUGGAGCCACUUGCAGUUUAUGUGAAACAUGAUUCUUACCCUUGAAACUUGGGAUACUUUUGGUUGAACCUUUUGUCCUUUGUGAUUUAUUGUCUCUAACGACAAUAAUCCUUUACUUGUGUGCUUUUGUCACUAAAUUUUUGUUGUUGAAGUUAUUCAAGCUUAUGUUUUUCAUUUUGACAAAACCUCUUCGAUAGUUAUUUUUAAGAGAUGACACAUUAACCAUAAUAUCUUUGAUUAACCCCUUUGAUAUAAAUUAUUGAUGUUCUUUCCUGCCGAAAUUACACUGAUUCCUUCUCUUAGCCCUAUUGUUUAAAUUGUCUUCUAUCCCGAGACCUUUCUGCAACUUGAGAUUUGAGUUGAUGUUUUACCAUUAUCUCCAAAGACUCUGCUUCAAUCAUCAUCUCUAUGAGUUGUUUUUCUUUGAACUAUCUUCGAAACAUAUGGGCCAGCCACGAUAUGAUUCGUAUGUUCCUAUUGAACCUUAACCAUGAUGUUUGUUAACUUAAGACCAGAUGUGGCUCAGAGAAUAUGCUAAUCAGUCUCUGUUCUAUUGAAAUUUUUACCACUUCAAUCAUGCUUUUUGACUUUCAGAUUAUUGACCAUUCGCUUAUGUCCUACGGAUGCUUAAAUUGUUCUGGGAGGUAAUAAAUAUCUGAAUUAUGGAGCAAAGUUUCCAUGUGACUGAGAAAGUAGUUAAGUGGAACUGGCCACUCCAUGUAACUCGAAUCUCAGUAGCGUCCUUCUUCGACAAACCGAUGGGUUUUAACUUUGAAGUAAUUUCAUUGGACUUAUUGUCAAUUCAUUCUUACCAUCGGUUACCUUUUCCAAGCUUGUUCGGUAAUUAUCUGAUGAAAUCUUUUGGUCAGUCGCUCUGCUACCAUGUAUUAAGGGAUCAUCUAUAUCUUAUCAUUGUUGUUUCCCGUUGAUUUAUUCAUUUCCAAGGAAUUCAUGGAUCGACCUUUCCGAUUGGUGUCUUCACAUCUUGAUCCGAAUUACUUUUUGUGAUAUCAUAUUCGUUGAACAUCUGAAUUGCAAAACCUCUGAAUCUUUACCUCAAUAAAUACCUCUGAACCGUAUCCUUAUGUCUUGUUAGCUAAUAUUUUUCGUAGAUCUGCACCAGAAAGUCAUUCCUUGAUGGAUUUCUUCAUACCUACGUUUGAACCAUAUUGUCUAAGGUCCUCAUAUUUGACUCGCAAAGUGGUAUCAAUCGCCCCCCCCCCCCUUUGAGGAGUGUUUGGUGAGCUUGGUCUCUCUUCAUUGUCUUGUCCUGUUUGCUUUCAAAGCUAACGUGAUGGUUUUCCCCACCUUGUGAUCCCUAUGCGGGCAAUCUGUGUGAGAUCAGUGUGCUACUAGUGAAAGAUUGAUUUUGUCUGCUAGUGAAAGAUUUGAUGUGUUCACUUUAUUAGGUUUGUCUUUGUUGUUCAUUUGGAGGUCGUCAGAAAUCUUUCAUACAUCUGUUCAAGGUUAUCGUUUAAAUAUUUCUGUACAUUUCCAUGGAACGUCCUUACAUUUGUUGUUGUUUGCUUUGGCUCCAACCAUAUCUAUCAGUACUUGGCAGUCUUUGUUUGGUGUCUACAAUGAAUGCUCAACUGGACUCUGUGACAGAGGGAGUAAAGUAGCUGUUAUGCUCCAUUUUGUCUUCUACCUUGUUUUUUAAAUCAUGUCUCAGUCAGGGUAGAUUGAUACUGGCUAAUCCUUUCAAAAGAAUUAAGCUUGUUUGACUUUACAAUUUCAAGCUUGUUAGGUUGUGUCAUCCUUAAAUAAAAUCAUCUCUAGUUCCUAAUGUUCUAUUCUUACCUUAAAGGAGUGGCACAGAAGUGCCUAACUCGACAUAUUGAUUUAGAUGAAAUUUCGAGGACGAAAUUUUUUUUAGGAGGGAAGAGUUGUAAUGACCCGAAAUUUUGUAACUCAGAAAUUAGUUAAAAUUUGUUAGUUUUUUUUAAUACAAUAUUUAAGUUGUGAGUUGUAGGAUUUAAGAAAUUAAAAUAAUUUGAAAAAAAAAGGAAAUAAGAAAAGGAAAAGGAAAAGGAAAAGAAAUUAGAGAUGGAAAAAGCGGAUAAAAAUGCCCCCUUUCUAGAACCUACGGGAGUUCUCUCUCCCUCAAUUUUUCAUCCAAAGUCAGAAACGGUAUCCAUCUCUCUUCUUCCGGCGCAUAUUGCCGCUCCAUCGGCCGCCGGAGCGUCGCCUGCUCCAGUCCUCGUCGUUCCCGGUCGCCGGAGUCUCGGCGGAAGUUCCGCCGUCGCCAUCUGCUGCAGAGAGCAACUCCAAAACGCAGACGGACGCAGCUGCGUUUCCUCCGUCACUGGUGGCCUCCUUCGUCACCUCUCUCUCGGCUGCUACACGGCGGUGCAGCACCACUGCUCCAGCCGGCAGCCUGACGCAGUGGAGCAGCCGCUGCUGUUUCGUGAUCAAUCGCAACUUCCGGGUCUCGUCGGAGCUCGCUCAUCGUCGGGUAGCACUUCAGUGGCCGGCCUAAAUCUAAGUCUUCAAACUCUCGUUAUCUAGUUCAUUCGAUUAGAUGAAACCUAGUGUUUGGAGGACUUCUGUGUAAUUGAUGUUGGGGAUUUGUGAUUUUUGUUAAGUGAGGGUUGUGUAGAACUAUGCGAAAGUUGUUGCUCCAUCAUUUGGGAAUUAAUUAUAAUGAGCUGGACAUGGAAUUUUAAUGAAAUUAAUGGGAUGAUUAGAGUA